Non-coding RNA from Cinara cedri, 242 nucleotides. Lineage: Eukaryota; Metazoa; Arthropoda; Insecta; Hemiptera; Aphididae. The record is from the annotation of a GenBank genome assembly.
UGUAAUUGUUGAACCCUACAAAUCCCACGGCGUCAUCGUUGCAGCGCGUACAACACGUCACUGUACAUUGGUUUCGGAUUGAAGCACGUGCAUUAUAGACGCGUACGGUUCUCGAUAUUACAAUGCCCUUACCCUAUACUCGAGCGGCUUUUGUUUCACGCGGCUUACUAAUAAGUACACCUUUAUCCGUGCAUAAAUGCCUAUUGACCCGCUGGAUGUAAAUGCAUUAGACCGGUUCGUUU